GCACAACGCGAAGAACCUUACCUACUCUUGACAUCUAGCGAAGAUUGCAGAGAUGCAGUUGUGCCUUCGGGAACGCUAAGACAGGUGCUGCAUGGCUGUCGUCAGCUCGUGUUGUGAAAUGUUGGGUUAAGUCCCGCAACGAGCGCAACCCUUAUCCCUAGUUGCCAGCACGUAAUGGUGGGAACUCUAGGGAGACUGCCGGUGAUAAACCGGAGGAAGGUGGGGACGACGUCAAGUCAUCAUGGCCCUUACGAGUAGGGCUACACACGUGCUACAAUGGUACGUACAGAGGGAGGCAAGCUGGCGACAGUGAGCGGAUCUCUUAAAGCGUAUCGUAGUCCGGAUCGCAGUCUGCAACUCGACUGCGUGAAGUCGGAAUCGCUAGUAAUCGCGGAUCAGAAUGCCGCGGUGAAUACGUUCCCGGGUCUUGUACACACC
RNAcentral lists this ribosomal RNA (438 nucleotides) under uncultured bacterium. RNAcentral's name for it is "bacterial SSU rRNA". It matches the Rfam family "Bacterial small subunit ribosomal RNA", at positions 954 to 1391 of the family's 1533-position model. The record is from RNAcentral.